Molecule: ribosomal RNA, 305 nt
Filed under: uncultured bacterium
Lineage: Bacteria
Description: bacterial SSU rRNA
Rfam family: Bacterial small subunit ribosomal RNA
Source: RNAcentral
GUAACCUACGGGGGGCAGCAGUGGGGAAUAUUGCACAAUGGGGGAAACCCUGAUGCAGCGACGCCGCGUGAAGGAAGAAGUAUUUCGGUAUGUAAACUUCUAUCAGCAGGGAAGAAAAUGACGGUACCUGACUAAGAAGCCCCGGCUAGCUACGUGCCAGCAGCCGCGGUAAUACGUAGGGGGCAAGAGUUAUCCGGAUUUACUGGGUGUAAAGGGAGCGUAGGCGGCGAUGCAAGUCAGAAGUGAAAGCACGGGGCUCAACUCCGGGACUGCUUUUGAAACUGUAUGGCUAGAUGGCAGGAGAG